Molecule: long non-coding RNA, 4265 nt
Organism: Ctenopharyngodon idella (grass carp)
Lineage: Eukaryota; Metazoa; Chordata; Actinopteri; Cypriniformes; Xenocyprididae
Exons: 3
Source: RefSeq, a predicted model, not a curated record
CCCAACUGCUGGGUUAAAACAACCCAAUUGUUGGUUUGUCCAUUUUCAACCCAUCCUGGGUAUAUAUAUUAUCAACAUUUUUUUUCAAUUGGAUGACUUUUUUCUUUUAAAGCAGCACAUAACCAACAAACUGGUUUUACGGUGGUCUUUCACUGGCGCAUCAGGUCAAAUUUACACUUAAAAUGCAAUGUGGUCACAUACAUUUUCAACCACCUCCGAAUUUUGGUUAAAGUGGACGACUUCUUUAUUUUAUUUCAGUAUUGACUAUUGUCCCAUUUCGAACAGAUGUAAACGAGGCCUUAGUCAAUCAUGCCUUUUCCCUUACAUGCAAGUCCAUUACAGUGUUCACUCCAGCACCCAAAAAAAUGACAAUAUUUUACUUAUGGUGCCGGUGGGAUGCAUGGCCUAAGGUCUACAGCACAUGGCGAUGUUUGCUGUGAUGGUUGCCGUGGUGAUUGUGUUCUUUUCUUACCAAAUGUCCACUGGGUACCAGGCUUUACAUCAUGUCUGCCCAGUGGAAAUGGACCUUACUGCAGAUUCAGACUUGAUUAUAUCUCUGUCACAUUCAAAUGCAUUCAUUUGAAUCUUCACCCCUUCUCUUUCUCAGUUUGACCACUGUUCUAAGCAAGUAUGAAUGCAAUAUGGGAUGGUUGUAUGAUACAUCAUAGUCAAAUGUCCUAUUCUUUUUCACUCACACGCACAAUCCUGUGAAUUACACAGCAUAACACUGAUGAGAAUGCAUGGACAUUGGUGUAAUUUGCAUUUAAACACAUCCAUUAAGAGAUACACAUGACUUAAGAUGCUUGGGCUGCCUCAUUCUGAAUCAGACUAGUGCACACACACACACACACACACACACACACACAGUCUUUGCCCAUGCAUUAUCCAUAUCCUGGCUCAGACACUCAUCACACACACACACACACACACACACACACACACACACACACACACACACACACACACACACACACACUCCCAGAUGCUGCCCUGCUGUGAUGCCUGAAGCUAAGCAAGCCAGCAAGAUUAAUAACGACCCCUGCCUCCCGAAAGGCAGGGCAAAAAAUACACUGUUUGCAGAGGGUCGAGAAGGAGAGGGAGAGAGAACGAGAGAGAGACUCUUUUUGUUGGCAGGUUUUUUGAUUUUGAAACCCUCCUCUGAUGUGAAGUGGGGCAUCAGCAGCAGUGCGCACGGCAGGCAGGAGAGGCCUUGCUUGCUUUGGAGAGGCAGAUGUCUGGGAAAGCUUAUCUGGGCCAGUUUGUGAGAUACUGCAUUGCAAGAUGCUUCUACCCCCAUGGAGCAUCAGCAUGACACUGCAGGGGGAGCAUCAGGCGUGUACGACUAGACUGUACCAACAUGUUUUUGCAGAUCAGGGAAGAGGGAGAGGAACGGAGCACAGAGCCAAGGUGUGUUGAUGGAGCUGCAAUCCUGACCAUCCCCUGGGCAGCACGCGGAGUUACAGUUACAUGGACGAGGAGUGUGUGCAAGAUCAAAUAUUCACUUGUGAAAAGUCCACAGAGGCUGCAGCCUCCUCCCAUUAAUAUCAGCUUCCGUCUGGAUUUUGUCAGCCAAACCCAGUGGGAGGAAAUCGCCUGUCAUCAGGAGCGUACACGUGUGCACUCACAUAUACAAUCACACACACACUGUUGCAAAGCAAUGCAAGGAGAGGCAUGCAGCGCACAAUGUCAAUUUUAGAAUUUGGUGCUGUAUGGACUUUUAUACACAUGAUAUCAUUCAGCAGACAAGUGUAAGAGACCGUGAGAAAAUUGGUGUGAGAAUGAAGCCUUGUCCUGCCCCCUCCUGUCCCUUCUGUAUCAGAGGAUCAAGGUUUGAUCCUUAAAGUUGCCAUGAAAUCAUCUAUUUAUAUUAAACAAGACAAAAAUACCAAGAUUUUUUUUUAAGUGUGCAAAAAAUAGUCUCCGGAAUUGACUACCUACAAAGAAUACAAAGAAAAGAUAGUAAUAUCCAGAUUGUGUACUUCUGAGGCUUCAUGCACCAGCCGAGCAACUGCCAAUUACAGUAGAUGAAUAUGAAUGCUAACAGAUAGCUGAAGAAUGCGAUGUGAAACAAUUAAAAACAGCAAGGCAUGACACAAUGGCCAAAGAUCUAUAUGUGUACAUAGAUCAACAUUUUAAAAAAGGGAGCAAACUACAUUUCUGCUUAAUAGAUAAACAGGAUCAAUAUCUAUAUACAGUACUUUUUUGUAAUAAAGUAUCAUAGUUAAUACGUAAAAGCACCACAACUUAAAUAACAAAGAUAUAUUUUUUAGAUAAAUUAGCAAACCUCACUAUUGUGUCAUAUUGUAUCACACAGUCCUGCUUGUCCACUUUAGGAUGGAGAGGUGAGAGAGUAAGAAAAAAAAAAGAGCAGGGAAAACUAGCAACAACGCAACAGCUUUGUUGUGUUUUGUAUUCCUCUCUUAUCCUUCCUUCCUUCCUUUUAUCCAUGACUCUCUUGCUUUUAACAGCUCAGUCUAAUAUAUAUUCAAACACACACACAUGCUCUCACACACGUACACACACACACAAGGACUCACUAUACAGCUGAGGGCAAGCAAAAGGGUGUAUUGGGUUUCGCCUGUCUGAUAAAUAGCCUGUUUACUUAUAGAAUACGUCAGAGAAAGACUAUGAUGGAUGAGAAAGACAGUAGCCUCCCCUAACACAUACAGUACUCUCCCUAAGACACACACCUGCCAAACUCACAAAACACACACAUUAUUUCAAAGAGCUUACUCACACUCAGGGGCCGUUUACACGACACCAUUUUAAAACAUAAAACUAAAAAAUUUUUAUGCGUUUUGGCCAUUUAUGCGUUUGGUUCAUUUAGCCUACACAAAAACGUCAUUUAUGAGGCCUGAAAACACCAACCUUUGAAACGGGUUUCAAAGUGCAAGUUUUUGAAAACAAUACUGAUAUUGUCUCCAUGUACACUACAAAUACGUGAAUUUGUGAAAAUGGUGACGUAAUGUGCAUGCGUAUUAUGUGUUCAGUCUAUAUGCAUGAAGUUUUUCUUUACAAAUAUUCUCCGUUUUUAGUGUAUCUCUGUGGCAGAAUUACAGCACCACAUACUGGUCUGGCAUGUAUACUACAUCAUUUUAAGUCGGUUUUAAUGGUUUCGUGUGUACGCAGAUAUUUCUUGAGACGAAGGAAAAAAAAAAAGAUUGGAUAGGGAAAGCUCUGGCUUCGUGUGGAUGUGGCCUCAGUCUCUAGACCUUUAACUAAAAAGCAUGAACCACACUGCAGCUUAUUCUGGCCAAGAACCGCCCACUUAGACAGGAAGAGACAUGUCUGACCAAAAUGUAAAGCGACCAACCACAGUUCAUUCUGUUUGAGUUCACGAGUUUAUCUGAAGCAGUGUUAUUUUAGUAUAAUUGUGAUCCUAUUAUAAUUUUUAUUAAUAUUUUGAAUUAGUUUUUAUUUUUAUAUUUUCAGUUUUCAUUUUAGUUAAAGUUUUAGUAAAUUUGUUGUGUGUUUUUGUCAUUUUUAUUACAUUUUUAUUUCAGUUCUGGGUCAUUCCGUGUCAAAUCAACCAAAUUUCGAAAACUUCCCUGACUCAAAUUUUUGAUUUUGUUAAUAUUUGUUAUGUACAAAGACAAACAUAAAUAGUGAUAAAAGCCAAAAUAUUAAAUGUCACAGAUGUAAAUUGACUACAUUGAUAAUCCACUGUUUUGAUAAUCCACAAUGACAGUUUUCACCUGAGAUUUGGAGCCAUUUUACAGGGGUGUAAAAAUGACUGUAGAAAGAUGACAGCAUCAUUAUUUUAUAUUUACACAGAGAUUGGUAGGUCUGUUAGUGAAAUCUGUUGACUUUAGUAAUCUUUGCUGCAUUAUAUGCCAACAGUGACAGUUCAAAAAUGGCAAAAAGCACUUCCUGUGUUUUUUUGCCUCAAGUUUGCAUGCCUGUAACUAAAGAAGUAUUAAAGAUAUUAAAGAUAAAGACAUUAAAGAUUUCCUUUUAGUAUCUUCAUUUUAAAAUAAUAAUAAUAAAUAAAAAAUAAAAAAAUGAAAAUAAAAUAUAAACAUCUUUGAGUAAAAUAAAAUGAUCUGUGCAAGCGCAACGUAAAUGGUGUCUCAUACAGUAAGCCUUUAAUGAGGAAACAUCAAAUGGAAAUUGAUUAUUCAGAAGUCCACCACACGCCACUGCUGCGGAUCAUAUCCACUGCUCACAUGCAGGAAAGCACACCUGCACAUAUGCACAGGAAAUCCCCCUGCCAAGUAGGAAACUCAGACUUCUCUUUUCCCCUUUCUGUCCCUCUCACAUUCAAC